Molecule: ribosomal RNA, 254 nt
Filed under: uncultured bacterium
Lineage: Bacteria
Description: partial 16S ribosomal RNA
Rfam family: Bacterial small subunit ribosomal RNA
Source: RNAcentral
CACGUAGGGUGCGAGCGUUGUCCGGAAUUAUUGGGCGUAAAGAGCUCGUAGGCGGUGUGUCGCGUCGGCCGUGAAAACCUGCAGCUUAACUGUGGGCUUGCGGUCGAUACGGGCAUCACUGGAGUUCGGCAGGGGAGACUGGAAUUCCUGGUGUAGCGGUGAAAUGCGCAGAUAUCAAGAGGAACACCGGUGGCGAAGGCGGGUCUCUGGGCCGAUACUGACGCUGAGGAGCGAAAGCGUGGGGAGCGAACAGG